Salvia hispanica is the source of this 1459-nucleotide non-coding RNA. The record is from RefSeq and is a predicted model, not a curated record. NCBI's taxonomy places the organism in Eukaryota, Viridiplantae, Streptophyta, Magnoliopsida, Lamiales, Lamiaceae.
AUUUUCAGGAGUGGUGGAGAUCUCCGGCGAUUGGAGAAUUUGCGGAUUUUCCUUUAGGAUUUGCGAUAGGAGCUGCACCGAUCCGCUCAUUGCCGCUUCGUACAGCUUCAGAUGUUUGUCGUAGGGCUGGGAAAAAUCGAAUUUACAGAAAAAAUGUGAGGAUUUGAGUCAGAAGAAAUCAAAAUUGCUGCUUCUGGAGGUUUGCAACUUUUAGAGAUUUGAUAAUUUUGAUCAUGAAUUAGCAGUCUCAGUUCUAUGAUAAAUUGCUCUUAACCUGUUCGGUACUUCAUACUACCUGCUUGUGUGAACAUUUUAUUUCUUGUCAGUUUAGAUAUUUCAAACAAUAGAUUCAUAGAGUAAAACCUGAGACAAUGUUGAACAUGAAUAUGAUACAGCAGUACUAAUUUUCACACAUGAAUUGCAAGCAUAGGAAACUAGAUAGAUGUGCUUUCAGAUAAAUGAAAAUAAAAAUCUCAAUUUUGACUGCUGAUUUUGAUCAGUUGGUUCAUUUCCACCUCAUUCCUAAACCUUCUAGGCCUCCAAAUAACAACACCUCUGUUCUUCAACCACUUGUCGAUCAAACGAAUCGUGUUCCCGAAAAGCAAAAUCCCCAUCACACUGCACCACACAAUUAGCGAGAUCUCAAUGACCUUGCUCAGUGACCUCCGAUCCUUCUUUGGAGUCACCACAGUAAUCGAUAUGGCAUAGGUUGCCGCGGUCAUGGUAACCGUGACCCACAUGAUCACCAUCAGGAUCCACAUGAACAGCGGCCGCCUGAAGGGCAGGCCGCUAAUGAGCAGCAGGAUUGUGCUGAGAGACGUUACGAAGGCCACUGUGUUGGUGCGCAUGAAGUUUUUGAACGCCCGCUCGCUUUUGUAGGCCAUCACGGCCUCCCCUGCUUUGUGUGGAUUAUCCACGAGGGUGCCGUUGUCAUGGUGUAUGAAGUCUUCCUGCCAGACGCCCCCUGGAGGGGUCACCCCAGCUUGGAAAGCCAUGGUUGCUAUGAGGAUCGCAACCACCAUUAUGGAGUCUCGUUUCUUGGUCAACCACUUCACCGGCUGGGUGUCUCUGUGUUUUUUUUUUAAUCUGUUGAACCCGUGGCACAGAACAUGGGCGACUCCAGAAUCUUCUUGUGCCUCGGGUUGGAUUUGUUCGUAAAGGGACUUCGCUGUUUGGCCAUUGGAGUUCAUUGCGUUGAUAUCCACGUUGUCAUUUUGGAGUAGAGACUCUAUAAUCUGCAAUAUAAUGUGUUUAUGUUCUUGAUUAUAGGUAAAGAAGGUGUUACAGAUCAAUCAUUCAGAUGCUCUUUCUUCUAUUUAUCAGCUACUGCCAUAUGCAAAAUGGUGUCACCAUCACCAUUCUUUGCAUUGAUCAGCUCUUUCACUUCUCUCAUCAAAACCCUCAAAGCCCCCAGCUGGCCAUGUUCGACGCACAAAUGCAGGGCGUUGAGGCCUCGGCC